CUAAAACAAAACCUGAAAUAAAUUUCAAUUACCAUGAAAAACAAACCCAGAACAAGUUUUUCCCAAAUUUCCUUUCAAUCUUGAAAACCCUAGCCACCACAUUCUCCGAUUGCACCCCCACCAGGUCGUCGCCGUCCACCAUCCCAAACAGGUUUCACUUCCAACAUUCCUCUUUCACCACCAUUGCCAAUCUUAAUCGUUGUCCACCGACAGGUCGCAGACCGUCCACCACACCACCACCAUGACGAGUGUCAGCCGAGUUGCACAAGGUCGCCGAACGUCCACCCCGCACCAGCUUUUUCUUCUUCUUCAUCAAAACAUGUCUCUGACUCAACCUCUCCUCUUCAAUCAUCUCUUCUUCCUCGGCUUUUCUGGCUCCAACUAAAAUCAAUUCCAGGAGUGCCAGUGGUUCGUAACUUGGGUGUUGAAGAGACUCUUUCAAUGGUACUAAUUGGUGGCGUACUUGGGAACAAGAAUGUUGAUUUACUUAUCGGCUUACAAGACAAAAGUGUUGCGCAAUUGAAAUAUAGUCAAACUUCAAGCUGGUUACCUUUUUCCAGAGUUCUUGGUUGAUGCUCAAAAUCAAAUUCCUAAAAAUUGAGAUGCAAAAUCAAGUUCCGACAGUGCAAAUUUUUUAUCAAAAUAUGGUGCCGGCCCAGUGCAGCAGGAGAAACCAUUGGAAGAGGACGGCCAGGAUUCGAUAACAUAUGCCACGAAAAUAAACUGACAUAUUCAUCAAAGGUGAGUACUGAUACUGUAUCAAAACAGCCAGUUCAUCACUUUAUAUUCUUGCUGUUGUAAUGUAUGUUGUGUGCAAGUUUUUAUAAUGCAAUUGAGCCAUUUGUAACGUAUGCAAUUGAACAAAUUAAUGUUGAAUGACAAUGCUACUGCUGUAGUUCAUCGAAUGUAUCUUUCAUUUUAAGUUUCAUGACAAAAAAUUGAGCCAUUUGUAAUUGUCCAGCAAGUAAUUGAAGUCAUAUU
Molecule: long non-coding RNA, 981 nt
Organism: Pistacia vera
Lineage: Eukaryota; Viridiplantae; Streptophyta; Magnoliopsida; Sapindales; Anacardiaceae
Exons: 6
Source: RefSeq, a predicted model, not a curated record